CUUCGAUGCUACUCAGUUUUUGUUUCACUUCACUAAUUUCAUAUUUCAUUGCACUCAUUUCAUCUUCAGCGUCACUUGUCAGACGAUUGAUUUCUUCGUUAAGUUUUUCUACUUCCUUUGUAGGAAAAUCCGAUUCUCUCAUGUUGCCAAUCCUCUCCAGAGAUAUCGUGCUAAAAUUCAAAGCAGUGAAUGCAUCUUUGGCGUGCUUGACAUAGUCAUCGAACGUGACUUUAUUAAUUUGAGGGCUGGAUGUAUGAGCAAAGGUGUUUCGUAAAAGACGAAGUUGAUCAAUGGCAAGUGCAAUCGUCUCAUUUGCAUCUCCUCUCGAGCUUCUCACGGCAGAGUGGAAUGGAGCAGGGGCUGGCUUU
This is a non-coding RNA of Paramuricea clavata, 368 nucleotides long. The record is from the annotation of a GenBank genome assembly. NCBI's taxonomy places the organism in Eukaryota, Metazoa, Cnidaria, Anthozoa, Malacalcyonacea, Plexauridae.